This 395-nucleotide ribosomal RNA is filed under the name Incasarcus ochoai. RNAcentral's name for it is "partial small subunit ribosomal RNA". Lineage: Eukaryota; Metazoa; Arthropoda; Arachnida; Opiliones; Metasarcidae. The record is from RNAcentral.
UUAGAUACCCUAGUAUAGAGAAUUUAAGAGAUUACUAUGGUUUAAGAAAUUUAAAAAUUUUGGCGGUUAGUUAUUAAUUAGAGGGGCUUGUCUUUAGAAUUUACUCUUUAUAUUUUAUAAAUUUGUGUUUAUUUAUCUCCGUUUUUAGGUGAAAGUUGAAUAAGAAGUAUACUUGAAUUUUAGGUCAAGAUGUAGCUUGAAUUAAAAGUGAUUAGCUAUAUUUAUGUAAUAGUGGAUCUUAAGGAUCAUAUUAUAAUAAUAUAUGAGGGUAGAAAUAUUUAUUGAAUGUAAAUUUAAUUGUAAUUUUUUUUAUAAAAAUAAAAUGAAUGGGUAUAAUUAAUGUACAUAUUGCCCGUCACUUCUUUUGGUUAAUAGGAAUAAGUCGUAACAAAGUA